Molecule: ribosomal RNA, 394 nt
Filed under: uncultured bacterium
Lineage: Bacteria
Description: bacterial SSU rRNA
Rfam family: Bacterial small subunit ribosomal RNA
Source: RNAcentral
UGGCCUGGGGGCAACCCUGAGCGCAAUGCCGCGUGAGUGAAGAAGGCCUUCGGGUUGUAAAGCUCUUUUGUCUGGAAAAAACAGCAGCUCUAACACAGUCUGCGAAUGACGGUACCUGAAGAAUAAGCACCGGCUAACUACGUGCCCCAGCCGCGGUAAUACCUAGGGGGCCAGCGUUAAUCGGAAUUACUGGGCGUAAAGCGUGCGCAGGCCGUUAUACAAGACAGGCGUGAAAUCCCCGGGCUUAACCUGGGAAUGGCGCCUGUGACUGUAUAGCUUGAGUGUGUCAAAAGGGGGUAGAAUUCCCCGUGUAGGAGUGGAAUGCGUAAAUAUGUGGAGGAAUACCAAUGGCGAAGGCCGCCCCCUGGGAUAACACUGACGCUCAUGCACGAAA